UUUCUUCUCGUCUGUCGCCAUGUGAGAUGUACCUUUCACUUUCCUCCAUGAUUGUGAGGCCUCCUUAGCCACAUGGAACUCCUGUACAAGAAACAUGGUGCCAGCAUCUGCUUCUGGUGAGGACUGCAGGAAGCUUCCAAUCAUGGUCCAAAAAAUGCGGAGCCUGCGUGUCACGUGAUAAGAGAUGGAGCGUGAGAAAGAGGCAGGAGGAGAAAGUGACCCCCACCUUUACAAGUGUCUGUAAUUCUCACUAGCAGUAUAUUAGAGGGCAAAAGAUUUGAACAGACACAUCAGAAAAGAAGACAUACAAAUGGCCGCUAAGCACUUGAAAGGAUUCUGAACACCAUUAGUCAUCAGUGAAAUGCAAAUUAAAGCCAUAAUGAAUGGCGCUAUACAUUUUCAGAAUGGCAAGGAUUGAAGACCGAAAAAAAUCAAGCGUUGAGGAGAGUGACAAAUGGGGAGACAGCCGUGGUGCAUGAUCGCCGAAUAAAUACCAUGUGAGGAUACAGCAAGAAGGUGGCCAUCUACAAGCCAAGGAGACAGGCCUCAGAAGAAACCAACCCUUCUUACACCCUGGACUCAGACUUCUAAUCUCCAGAACUUGUUAAUGCACAAGGUCUUGUGUUGAAAAUGUAGAGCCACGAGAUAAAAGCAGCUUGGAUGGCUGACUCAUAUACAAGGACAACUGCCUGAGAGUCACCAGGGCUAUCAAGAAGUUUGCAGAAACAAGAAAUAAACUUUUACUGUUUUAAA
Molecule: long non-coding RNA, 753 nt
Filed under: Homo sapiens (human)
Lineage: Eukaryota; Metazoa; Chordata; Mammalia; Primates; Hominidae
Description: PYDC2 antisense RNA 1
Source: RNAcentral